Molecule: non-coding RNA, 29 nt
Filed under: Cricetulus griseus (Chinese hamster)
Lineage: Eukaryota; Metazoa; Chordata; Mammalia; Rodentia; Cricetidae
Source: RNAcentral
AUCUGCCUAUUCCUUCAUGUAGGACGAGG